Molecule: regulatory RNA element, 68 nt
Organism: Pseudomonas sp. 21C1
Lineage: Bacteria; Pseudomonadati; Pseudomonadota; Gammaproteobacteria; Pseudomonadales; Pseudomonadaceae
Rfam family: sucC RNA
Source: Rfam
AUCACAGGUGGCGCGGCACUUUUGUGCAGCGCCGAAUGCGCAAUACCUAAACGAAGACGGUAGACAAG